Molecule: ribosomal RNA, 258 nt
Filed under: uncultured bacterium
Lineage: Bacteria
Description: partial 16S ribosomal RNA
Rfam family: Bacterial small subunit ribosomal RNA
Source: RNAcentral
GUCCACGCUGUAAACGAUGGGUGCUGGGUGCUGGGAUGUAUGUCUCGGUGCCGUAGCUAACGCGAUAAGCACCCCGCCUGGGAGUACGGUCGCAAGGCUGAAACUCAAAGAAUUGACGGGGCCCGCACAAGCGGUGGAGUAUGUGGUUUAAUUCGAUGCAACGCGAAGAACCUUACCCAGGCUUGACAUCUAGGGAACCCUUCGGAAAUGAAGGGGUGCCCUUCGGGAGCCCUAAGACAGGUGCUGCAUGGCUGUCGU